ACAAAUGCAAGAGGAAAUGGUCCGGGAAAAUGAAACUUAAAUGCCUUUCUCAUCACAAUAUCAUCAACUGAGGCAGCAGAGACAGACAGGACAAAGUAACAGACACCCUCUUCAUUGAGUUGAAUUGAGUUCAGGAUAAACAACAGAGGAAAAGUACAACAACAUGAUGAUUUCAGCUCCUGAUAAGGCAGAUUGUGGGCCGAUGGUGGUUACUGUUGGAUUCUUGACGUUGGUCAUUGGAGUCGCUGUUGGAGUGAAACUGAAGGUGGCCACAGACCGGUUCGUUCAACAACAUCUAUGGAAGGUUUAUGUCUUUGUCCCUGUGU
Oncorhynchus masou masou (cherry salmon) is the source of this 326-nucleotide long non-coding RNA. RefSeq lists it as uncharacterized. The record is from RefSeq and is a predicted model, not a curated record. Lineage: Eukaryota; Metazoa; Chordata; Actinopteri; Salmoniformes; Salmonidae. The transcript is spliced from 4 exons.